GAUGAACGCUGGCGGCGUGCCUAAUACAUGCAAGUCGAGCGAACAGACGAGGAGCUUGCUCCUCUGACGUUAGCGGCGGACGGGUGAGUAACACGUGGAUAACCUACCUAUAAGACUGGGAUAACUUCGGGAAACCGGAGCUAAUACCGGAUAACAUGUUGAACCGCAUGGUUCAACAGUGAAAGACGGUCUUGCUGUCACUUAUAGAUGGAUCCGCGCCGCAUUAGCUAGUUGGUAAGGUAACGGCUUACCAAGGCAACGAUGCGUAGCCGACCUGAGAGGGUGAUCGGCCACCCUGGAACUGAGACACGGUCCAGACUCCUACGGGAGGCAGCAGUAGGGAAUCUUCCGCAAAGGGCGAAAGCCUGACGGAGCAACGCCGCGUGAGUGAAGAAGGUCUUCGGAUCGUAAAACUCUGUUAUUAGGGAAGAACAAAUGUGUAAGUAACUAUGCACGUCUUGACGGUACCUAAUCAGAAAGCCACGGCUAACUACGUG
This 497-nucleotide ribosomal RNA is filed under the name uncultured bacterium. RNAcentral describes it as "partial 16S ribosomal RNA". It matches the Rfam family "Bacterial small subunit ribosomal RNA", at positions 28 to 507 of the family's 1533-position model. The record is from RNAcentral.